AUUUUGGUAAAGCACAAAUUAUAGAAUGCAUAAAAUAGGACACAAAGUUGGGUUUUUUUGUUAAAUACAGAAACAAAAAUAACUAGUGAAAAAUAGUUUAUCUUACUGCAUAAUGACAAUUUUUCUUUUUCUUCUCAUUUUCAGGAAAGUAAUUCAGAUAUAAGAACUGACUAUGCAGUUAUCUUUUGGUUCCUAGCAGGAAAAAAUAAACAAGUCAAGUAUUAACGUCAGUUUCUGCUUUGUGGGAACAUAACUGUGGCCAAAAAGAUUUUGAAAUAAUUUGCACUGUUAAAGCUUGAGUGAGUACCAGUGCAUAAAGCUGAUAGCCUAAACUGGGCCCCUGGAAGGUACUUGGCUUUCAUAAUUCAGAACAGUUACUGCCACCGAUAAAGUACAGAACUGUGGAAGAUAAUCUCCUCAGCAGACAAAAGAUGAAAAUUUUCAUUAUUUUGGGAUUUUCAGCAGCUAUAGCCUUCACAGCUGUUUUCUUUUCUUUCCUUGAAAUAGGGAAAGACACCAUCUUUGAACAAAUUGAAGAUAACUGCAUUACUAAGGCUAUCCAGAAGGGUUCCAGUCUGGUCGAUUAUGCUGCACAUUAUGAAAUUAAAAGGUA
Molecule: long non-coding RNA, 613 nt
Organism: Corvus moneduloides (New Caledonian crow)
Lineage: Eukaryota; Metazoa; Chordata; Aves; Passeriformes; Corvidae
Source: Ensembl